Aethalodelphis obliquidens (Pacific white-sided dolphin) is the source of this 265-nucleotide long non-coding RNA. RefSeq lists it as uncharacterized. The transcript is spliced from 2 exons. The record is from RefSeq and is a predicted model, not a curated record. Lineage: Eukaryota; Metazoa; Chordata; Mammalia; Artiodactyla; Delphinidae.
GAGCGAAGAGAGGAUCGUGCGCCUGCACCAGGAUGGCCGAGUGGUUAAGGCGUUGGACUUAAGAUCCAAUGGACAUAUGUCCGCGUGGGUUCGAACCCCACUCCUGAUUUUGAUGUCUCUGAACAACUUAUCAGAGUGCUUGGCAGAGAAGCAAUGAUUGCACUGGGUCCUUACUGAAGUGAGAUGGAAACUGCCUAGCAGAGUGUCUCUAUACAUUGUACGCACUAUAUAAAUACUUGUUGAAUAAAUGAACAACGUUGAAGUC